This is a non-coding RNA of Pelobates cultripes (western spadefoot toad), 369 nucleotides long. The record is from the annotation of a GenBank genome assembly. NCBI's taxonomy places the organism in Eukaryota, Metazoa, Chordata, Amphibia, Anura, Pelobatidae.
UUUUUUUUUUUUGGUGCUGGUUUGGUUCAUUAGUUUUUUGAUACACCCACACAGUUAGGGAAUUUGGAAGACUGAAAAUCGCCCCAAAAUUUGCUCAAAUCACAAUUCGCUAGAAACCAAAUGUAGUCUAGCAUACAUGCAAAUUCCUAUAUCUGACAGAGCUCUAGAUUAUACAACUUAUGUUUCUAUUCAUUCCAAUAUAAUCUUUACACAAUUUUGAUUUGAUACCUGUCUGAUACUUGCUCCCUUAGCUUUAAAACAUAUUGACUGCCUGAGUAUAAAUUAAGUAGGUACUAAUUUCAGAAAAAUUAUGAAAAGUGUAAAAUGUAUAUUUGUGUUUCAUAUUAAUGUAAUCCAUGUGAAAAACCU